Molecule: long non-coding RNA, 721 nt
Filed under: Anas platyrhynchos (mallard)
Lineage: Eukaryota; Metazoa; Chordata; Aves; Anseriformes; Anatidae
Description: lncRNA (ENSAPLG00020004752.1)
Source: RNAcentral
UGCUGGGAUGAGCUUAUGGAAGUUUUGCCUGGGUUGGUCAGUAUAGAUUUGAAUGCACCCGUGCUUCUUCCUGCCUGCUGGGGAGAACCACGUCCUUUCUGCUUCUCUGGCUUGUGGGACUUCCUCCUGGGUGUGCAGGUGAAAGAAGAAACUGAGCUUUGAGGAGCUGCAAACCGAUGUGCUCAUGGGAAAAGGGGAGAGCGGCAGGGAUUUGAAAGCUGUGAGUGUCAUAAGAGACAAUCAUCCUGGGAGAAACGGCUCUUUCUUGGGAGCAAGGAAAGGAACAGAGGAGUGGGAGAUGGAAGAGAAGGGACCGCAGGUACUGCUCUGACCAGCGCGAGGCUGUCUGGGGCUUGUGCUGCAGCUGUGCUUUGGCUCAGAGCUCACUGCUCUGCUCCAGCUCUAAGCCCGGGGUAGCUGCAGUACCCGGCACACUGCAGGCCAGGAAAUGGGGGGGGGGAGGGAGUGUCAUUUUGGUGUUUCAGUAGAUAUUUGGCAGUACGGGAGGAAAUUACAUUGUGAGUUAAGUAUACACCAAUGAAACAACCUGCAAAUUUGCACCAAAGCGCCUGGUUCUCCAUUCUGCAUCCGUGCAGCCACGUUCUAUUGAUGGCCUGUUGUGAUUUCAAUGGAACAUCAUGGGAUGUACCUGGCACGUCGGGCAGCACUGGAUGGAGGUGCCUUUAGCCCAAUGUACCUGGCAUGGUGGUAAAGUGAAGGU